CAGUAGCCACGGGAAUACGAAGGGGGCUAGCGUUGUUCGGAUUUACUGGGCGUAAAGCGCACGUAGGCGGACUUUUAAGUCAGGGGUGAAAUCCCGGGGCUUAACCCCGGAACUGCCUUUGAUACUGGAAGUCUUGAGUAUGGUAGAGGUGAGUGGAAUUCCGAGUGUAGAGGUGAAAUUCGUAGAUAUUCGGAGGAACACCAGUGGCGAAGGCGGCUCACUGGACCAUUACUGACGCUGAGGUGCGAAAGCGUGGGGAGCAAACAGGAUUAGAGACCCCAGUAGUCCCUGUCUCUUAUAC
RNAcentral lists this ribosomal RNA (301 nucleotides) under uncultured bacterium. Its description in RNAcentral is "partial 16S ribosomal RNA". It matches the Rfam family "Bacterial small subunit ribosomal RNA", at positions 509 to 807 of the family's 1533-position model. The record is from RNAcentral.